GCCGCUGUAGCUCAGUUGGUUAGAGCGCUGCACCGGAAUCGCAGGGCCGUAGGUUCAAUUCCUACCAGAGGAC
Molecule: transfer RNA, 73 nt
Filed under: Paramuricea clavata
Lineage: Eukaryota; Metazoa; Cnidaria; Anthozoa; Malacalcyonacea; Plexauridae
Rfam family: tRNA
About the family: Transfer RNA (tRNA) molecules are approximately 80 nucleotides in length. Their secondary structure includes four short double-helical elements and three loops (D, anti-codon, and T loops). Further hydrogen bonds mediate the characteristic L-shaped molecular structure. tRNAs have two regions of fundamental functional importance: the anti-codon, which is responsible for specific mRNA codon recognition, and the 3' end, to which the tRNAs corresponding amino acid is attached (by aminoacyl-tRNA synthetases). tRNAs cope with the degeneracy of the genetic code in two manners: having more than one tRNA (with a specific anti-codon) for a particular amino acid; and 'wobble' base-pairing, i.e. permitting non-standard base-pairing at the 3rd anti-codon position.
Source: Rfam by way of RNAcentral